CACGUAGGGCGCAAGCGUUGUCCGGAAUUAUUGGGCGUAAAGAGCUCGUAGGCGGUCUGUUGCGUCCGCUGUGAAAACUCGGGGCUUAACCCCGAGCCUGCAGUGGAUACGGGCAGACUAGAGGUAGGUAGGGGAGAAUGGAAUUCCCGGUGUAGCGGUGAAAUGCGCAGAUAUCGGGAGGAACACCGGUGGCGAAGGCGGCAUCCUGGACCAACACUGACGCUGAGUGAGCGAAAGCCAGGGGAGCAAACGGG
Molecule: ribosomal RNA, 254 nt
Filed under: uncultured bacterium
Lineage: Bacteria
Description: partial 16S ribosomal RNA
Rfam family: Bacterial small subunit ribosomal RNA
Source: RNAcentral